Molecule: ribosomal RNA, 492 nt
Filed under: uncultured bacterium
Lineage: Bacteria
Description: partial 16S ribosomal RNA
Rfam family: Bacterial small subunit ribosomal RNA
Source: RNAcentral
AGCGAACGCUGGCGGUAGGCCUAACACAUGCAAGUCGAACGGCAGCACAGUAAGAGCUUGCUCUUACGGGUGGCGAGUGGCGGACGGGUGAGGAAUACAUCGGAAUCUACUCUUUCGUGGGGGAUAACGUAGGGAAACUUACGCUAAUACCGCAUACGACCUACGGGUGAAAGCAGGGGAUCUUCGGACCUUGCGCGAUUGAAUGAGCCGAUGUCGGAUUAGCUAGUUGGCGGGGUAAAGGCCCACCAAGGCGACGAUCCGUAGCUGGUCUGAGAGGAUGGUCAGCCACACUGGAACUGAGACACGGUCCAGACUCCUACGGGAGGCAGCAGUGGGGAAUAUUGGGCAAUGGGCGCGAGCCUGAUCCAGCCAUACCGCGUGGGUGAAGAAGGCCUUCGGGUUGUAAAGCCCUUUUGUUGGGAGAGAAAAGCAGCAGGUUAAUACCCCGCUGUUCUGACGGUACCCAAAGAAUAAGCACCGGCUAACUUCGUG